AUUGAACGCUGGCGGCAGGCCUAACACAUGCAAGUCGAACGAUUGGCGGACGGGUGAGUAAUGUCUGGGAAACUGCCUGAUGGAGGGGGAUAACUACUGGAAACGGUAGCUAAUCCCGCAUACCAUCGGAUGUGCCAAGAUGGGAUUAGCUCGUAGGUAGGGGAAAGGCUCACCUAGGCGACGAGCCCUAGCUGGACUGAGAGGAUGACCAUCCACAGUUGAACUGAGACACGGUCCAGACUCCUACGGUGGGCAGCAGUGGUGAAUAUUGCACAAUGGGCGCAAGCCGGAUGCAGCCAUGCCGCGUGUAUGAAGAAGGCCCUCGGGUUGUAAAGUACUUUCAGCGGGGAGGCGUUACCCGCAGAAGAAGCACCGGCUAACUCCGUGCCAGCAGCCGCGGUAAUAC
This 406-nucleotide ribosomal RNA is filed under the name uncultured bacterium. RNAcentral's name for it is "partial 16S ribosomal RNA". It matches the Rfam family "Bacterial small subunit ribosomal RNA", at positions 30 to 526 of the family's 1533-position model. The record is from RNAcentral.